RNAcentral lists this non-coding RNA (28 nucleotides) under Homo sapiens (human). The record is from RNAcentral. Lineage: Eukaryota; Metazoa; Chordata; Mammalia; Primates; Hominidae.
UCACCUGAUGCCACAUGGUCUUGGGUUG